Long non-coding RNA from Thalassophryne amazonica, 274 nucleotides. RefSeq lists it as uncharacterized. NCBI's taxonomy places the organism in Eukaryota, Metazoa, Chordata, Actinopteri, Batrachoidiformes, Batrachoididae. The record is from RefSeq and is a predicted model, not a curated record. The transcript is spliced from 3 exons.
ACUUGGACUUUUUGGGUAUAUUUUACCUUCUCAGUACCAAAUUUCUCUUCUAAAGCCUAAAUUUGCAUUGAACACCUAUAGCAAAUCAUUCAUCCCAGCUCCCUUGGGCCAACUGCAUUUGACCUUGGACCUUAGGGUUAAGGUCGUGGAUGAAAAUUAAUGGAAAACUACUCUUUCCUGUAUUAUUUGGCCUUAAUUUUCACUGUCCCCCACCAUGAAAUAGGAGGACCAUUGAAAUGGACUCCAUGCAUCUAUACAUGCUUAUUUGUUUAAC